Molecule: ribosomal RNA, 552 nt
Filed under: uncultured Cortinarius
Lineage: Eukaryota; Fungi; Basidiomycota; Agaricomycetes; Agaricales; Cortinariaceae
Description: eukaryotic LSU rRNA
Rfam family: 5.8S ribosomal RNA (bases 173-326)
Source: RNAcentral
UUAUUGAAAUAAACCUGAUGGGUUGUUGCUGGCUCUCAAGGGAGCAUUGUGCACACUUUGUCAUCUUUAUAUCUCCACCUGUGCACCUUUUGUAGACCCUCACCAGGUCUAUGUCGCUUCAUCUACCCCUAUGUAUGUCGAUAGAAUGUUGUGGCUAUAAAAAUAUCUAUACAACUUUCAGCAACGGAUCUCUUGGCUCUCGCAUCGAUGAAGAACGCAGCGAAAUGCGAUAAGUAAUGUGAAUUGCAGAAUUCAGUGAAUCAUCGAAUCUUUGAACGCACCUUGCGCUCCUUGGUAUUCCGAGGAGCAUGCCUGUUUGAGUGUCAUUAAUAUAUAUCAUCCCACUUCUUGAGUGGUUUUGGAUGUGGGGGUUUGCUGGCCUAUUGAAAGGUUCAGCUCCCCUGAAAUGCAUUAGCAGAAUGGCCUGCUCAUUCAUUGGUGUGAUAACUAUCUACGCUAUUGGGUGUGAGGCAGUUCAGCUUCUUAAAUGGUCCUCGGACAAUUUAUAUCAUAUGUGACCUCAAAUCAGGUAGGACUACCCGCUGAACUUAA